This 520-nucleotide ribosomal RNA is filed under the name uncultured Campylobacterota bacterium. RNAcentral's name for it is "bacterial SSU rRNA". It matches the Rfam family "Bacterial small subunit ribosomal RNA", at positions 8 to 528 of the family's 1533-position model. The record is from RNAcentral. Lineage: Bacteria; Pseudomonadati; Campylobacterota.
AGAGUUUGAUCCUGGCUCAGAGUGAACGCUGGCGGCGUGCUUAACACAUGCAAGUCGAACGAGAACGGCUUAUUGAACCUUCGGGGGAUAUAAGUGUCAGCUAAGUGGCGCACGGGUGAGUAAUAUAUAGGUAACGUGCCUCUAAGAGGGGGAUAACAGUUGGAAACGACUGCUAAUACCCCAUAUGCCCUUGUAACAUAAGUUACUAGGGGAAAUGGUUUAUUCCGCUUAGAGAUCGGCCUGUACAGUAUCAGCUUGUUGGUAGGGUAACGGCUUACCAAGGCUAUGACGCUUAACUGGUUUGAGAGGAUGAUCAGUCACACUGGAACUGAGACACGGUCCAGACUCCUACGGGAGGCAGCAGUGGGGAAUAUUGCACAAUGGAGGAAACUCUGAUGCAGCAACGCCGCGUGGAGGAUGACACUUUUCGGAGCGUAAACUCCUUUUAUAUGAGAAGAUAAUGACGGUAUCAUAUGAAUAAGCACCGGCUAACUCCGUGCCAGCAGCCGCGGUAAUACGG